RNAcentral lists this ribosomal RNA (466 nucleotides) under uncultured bacterium. RNAcentral describes it as "partial 16S ribosomal RNA". It matches the Rfam family "Bacterial small subunit ribosomal RNA", at positions 28 to 507 of the family's 1533-position model. The record is from RNAcentral.
GAUGAACGCUGGCGGCGUGCUUAACACAUGCAAGUCGAACGAUGAAGCCCAGCUUGCUGGGUGGAUUAGUGGCGAACGGGUGAGUAACACGUGAGUAACCUGCCCUUAACUCUGGGAUAAGCCUGGGAAACUGGGUCUAAUAUCGGAUAGGAGCGUCCACCGCAUGGUGGGUGUUGGAAAGAUUUAUCGGUUUUGGAUGGACUCGCGGCCUAUCAGCUUGUUGGUGAGGUAAUGGCUCACCAAGGCGACGACGGGUAGCCGGCCUGAGAGGGUGACCGGCCACACUGGGACUGAGACACGGCCCAGACUCCUACGGGAGGCAGCAGUGGGGAAUAUUGCACAAUGGGCGGAAGCCUGAUGCAGCGACGCCGCGUGAGGGAUGACGGCCUUCGGGUUGUAAACCUCUUUCAGUAGGGAAGAAGCGAAAGUGACGGUACCUGCAGAAGAAGCACCGGCUAACUACGUG